This 460-nucleotide ribosomal RNA is filed under the name uncultured bacterium. Its description in RNAcentral is "partial 16S ribosomal RNA". It matches the Rfam family "Bacterial small subunit ribosomal RNA", at positions 338 to 795 of the family's 1533-position model. The record is from RNAcentral.
CCUACGGGAGGCAGCAGUGAGGAAUAUUGGUCAAUGGACGAGAGUCUGAACCAGCCAAGCAGCGUGAGGGAUGAAUGCCCUGUGGGUUGUAAACCUCUUUUGUAUGGGAAUAAACUAUUCCACGUGUGCCCUUUUGUGUGUACCUUAUGAAUAAGGAUCGGCUAACUCCGUGCCAGCAGCCGCGGUAAUACGGAGGAUCCGAGCGUUAUCCGGAUUUAUUGGGUUUAAAGGGAGCGUAGGUGGAUGGUUAAGUCAGGUGUGAAAGUCCGGGGCUCAACCGGAGAAUUGCAGUUGAAACUGGCAGUCUGGAGUACAGGAGAGGUGGGCGGAAUUCGUGGUGUAGCGGUGAAAUGCUUAGAUAUCACGAAGAACUCCGAUUGCGAAGGCAGUCCACUGGACUGCAACUGACACUGAGGCUCGAAAGCGUGGGUAUCAAACAGGAUUAGAUACCCUUGUAGUC